Homo sapiens (human) is the source of this 788-nucleotide long non-coding RNA. Ensembl annotates it as ZBED5 antisense RNA 1. Its record names the gene ZBED5-AS1. NCBI's taxonomy places the organism in Eukaryota, Metazoa, Chordata, Mammalia, Primates, Hominidae. The record is from Ensembl.
AGCCCCGUCGGCGCGGACGCUUGUCGAGAAUGCAGAUUCCUGGGUACUGCCAGAUACGGGCACUAUUGUGAGGAUUAAAUGAGAUCGAGUGAACAAAGCUUCUGAAGUCCUGCUGGGUGAACGUCUUCAUAAGAGGCCAAGACAAUAACAAUGAUGACAAAUCUGGGCAGGUCAGAUCAGCAGCACAUCCAAGGUUCACUUCGAAGCCUGUAGGACGAUGCCUGGCGCUCAAUAGCAAAUCUAUUACUACUGAACUAUUUCACAAACCCAUUUUGAAAGUCAAAAACCGAGCACUGAGUCUUUCUCUGUAAUCCAGCUACACCAACCCUAAUCUUCUCUGAGGUGAUGCACAGCUGUCACUGGGGAGAAAUGGAAUGCCAGGAAAUGCACAAAGGAAAAGCAUCCUGACAAAUGUUUUCAGCCUUAUGCGCCACACCACUAAAGAACAUUGCCACCUGCUGUAGGAUAUGAAGCUUCUGAAGCACAUGAGAAGUAAGAGGAAACAAUGGUCAUGCCCCCAAAGGUCUUGCUCCACAGAACUGGAGGGACACGUUCUGAAGAAUCCCAGAUUGCAUUCCAGAUGCACCCCAUGGAAACAUGGGACUUUGGUCCUUUUCCAACACCAGGUCACAAGGAGAAAGCUCAUUUUGCAGCUACUCACAGUUACUAGCAGGGCCAUCAUCCUUAACAUUUUUCUGUUGACUCAGAUCUCAGUGAUUUGUAGAAGGAUAAAUUAUCUAAGUAUGAAUUUCCUCUUAAUUCUGAAUAGAAUCUUAUAAUAGCCUCUA